GUAAGUUUAUGACCUAUUAUGACUAUGUGAUGAAGACUCCAAAAAAGUACAGAGUUCAGACAGCAUUCAGAUUGGAGAACACAUCUAUGCGUGGAGAGAUGAAGCUUCCGGAUUCCAGAAGCUCCGGCACUGAGAACUCUUCCAGACCUUGCCCCAUGUCUCUCUUCAUCUGGCUGUUCAUUUGCAUCCCUUAUCAUAUCCUUUAAUGUAUAAUAAACUGAUUCAUACUGGUGGUUUUCUCCUUACUCAUCAUUGAAUGGGAGAAGUUCUGUCCAGACCUGCUGUCCCUAAAUAAUCCAUAGCUUGGAUUCCAGAAUGAGAAAAUGAGUUGAACAGAGCCAGAUGAACCCAGCUAGGUCAAGCCAAGCCCACAGAACCCCAGCUGAUCUGCAACAUUCAUGAAACAUUCUGUGGGUCUGCAAUUAGGACAGGGCAAACAGGGAUGGUUUGUCUCUGCUCCAUUCUGUCUGGUACCUCAGUUGGGAAGAUAAGAAGGCUGGGACUGAUGUGAUAGAUGGAGUCUGGAAUCAUCUGGAAGCAUCUUUACUUACAUCUUUGGAGGUUGAUGCCUGUUGUUG
This 578-nucleotide long non-coding RNA is filed under the name Equus asinus (donkey). RNAcentral describes it as "lncRNA (ENSEASG00005035774.1)". Lineage: Eukaryota; Metazoa; Chordata; Mammalia; Perissodactyla; Equidae. The record is from RNAcentral.